Molecule: ribosomal RNA, 374 nt
Filed under: uncultured Methylophaga sp.
Lineage: Bacteria; Pseudomonadati; Pseudomonadota; Gammaproteobacteria; Thiotrichales; Piscirickettsiaceae
Description: bacterial SSU rRNA
Rfam family: Bacterial small subunit ribosomal RNA
Source: RNAcentral
CCGGGGAAGGGCAUCUGAAACUGCCCUGCUAGAGUACGGGAGAGGGAGGCGGAAUUCCCAGUGUAGAGGUGAAAUUCGUAGAUAUUGGGAGGAACACCGGUGGCGAAAGCGGCCUCCUGGACCGAUACUGACGCUGAGACGCGAAAGCGUGGGUAGCAAACAGGAUUAGAUACCCUGGUAGUCCACGCCCUAAACGAUGUCAACUAGGUGUAUGGAGGAUUUAUUCUUUGUGUAUCGAAGCUAACGCGAUAAGUUGACCGCCUGGGGAGUACGGUCGCAAGACUAAAACUCAAAUGAAUUGACGGGGGCCCGCACAAGCUGUUGAGCAUGUGGUUUAAUUCGAUGCAACGCGAAGAACCUUACCUGGCCUUGAC